This 1103-nucleotide unclassified non-coding RNA is filed under the name uncultured Bordetella sp. Its description in RNAcentral is "partial 16S-23S ribosomal RNA intergenic spacer". It matches the Rfam family "Bacterial small subunit ribosomal RNA", at positions 10 to 1114 of the family's 1533-position model. The record is from RNAcentral. Lineage: Bacteria; Pseudomonadati; Pseudomonadota; Betaproteobacteria; Burkholderiales; Alcaligenaceae.
GGUUCGAUUAUGGCUCGAUUGAACGCUGGCGGGAUGCUUUACACAUGCAAGUCGAACGGCAGCACGGACUUCCGGUCUGGUGGCGAGUGGCGAACGGGUGAGUAAUGUAUCGGAACGUGCCUAGUAGCGGGGAUAACUACGCGAAAGCGUAGCUAUCACCGCAUACGCCCUUCGGGGGAAAGCGGGGACCUUUCGGGCCUCGCACUAUUAGAGCGGCCGAUAUCGGAUUAGCUAGUUGGUGGGGUAACGGCUCACCAAGGCGACGAUCCGUAGCUGGCUGGAGAGGACGACCAGCCACACUGGGACUGAGACACGGCCCAGACUCCCCACGGGAGGCAGCAGUGGGGAAUUUUGGACAAUGGGGAAACCCUGAUCCAGCCAUCCUGGCGUGUGGGUGAUGAAGGCCUCGGGUUGUAAAGCACUUUGGCAGGAAAGAAACGGCACGGAUAAUACCCCGUGCAACUGACGGUACCUGCAGAAUAAGCACCGGCUAACUACGUGCCAGCAGCCGCGGUAAUACGUAGGGUGCAAGCGUUAAUCGGAAUUACAUUGGGCGUAAAGCGUGCGCAGGCGGGUUCGGAAAGAAAGAUGUGAAAUCCCAGAGCUUAACUUUGGAACUGCAUUUUUAACUACCGAGCUAGAGUGUGUCAGAGGGAGGUGGGACUCCCGCGUAGCAGUGAAAUGCGAUAUGCGGAGGAACACCGAUGGCGAAGGCAGCCUCCUGGGAUAACACUGACGCUCAUGCACGAAAGCGUGGGGAGCAAACAGGAUUAGAUACCCUGGUAGUCCACGCCCUAAACGAUGUCAACUAGCUGCUGGGGCCUUCGGGCCUUGGUAGCGCAGCUAACGCGUGAAGUUGGACUGCCUGGGGAGUACGGUCGCAAGAUUAAAACUCAAAGGAAUUGACGGGAGCACAAGCGGUGGAUGAUGUGAUUAAUUCGAUGUAACGCGAAAACCUUACCUACCCUUGACAUGUCUGGAAUCCCGAAGAGAUUUGGGAGUGCUCGCAAGAGAACCGGAACACAGGUGCUGCAUGGUUGCCGUCAGCUCAGGCCGUGAGAUGUUGGGUUAAGUCCCGCAACGAGCGCAACCCUUGUCAUUAG